GAGGUUGUGGCUCAGUGGUAGAGCACUCGCCUAGCAUGUGUGCGACCCUGAGUUCGAUCCUCAGCACCACA
Ictidomys tridecemlineatus (thirteen-lined ground squirrel) is the source of this 71-nucleotide non-coding RNA. NCBI's taxonomy places the organism in Eukaryota, Metazoa, Chordata, Mammalia, Rodentia, Sciuridae. The record is from Rfam.